GAAUGUGCAAGAAAAUAGUGUGUAAUAAAAGAUUAUAUGAAUGAAAGAGAGAGAGUGUGAACAAAAAACAAGUGUAUGAGAGAGAGAAAGAAAGAGUGUAUUUACAAAAGAAAAAGAGAGAUUGAACAAGAAAAGAGUGUGAGAGUGAAAGUGUGUAUGAAAGAGGAGUAUGAGAGAAAAACAAAUAGAAUAAAAGAAAAAAAAAAUACAACGUAUAAAAAAAGAGUGUGUUUGUUAGAAAAAAAGAGAAAUUGGGCAAGAAAAUAAUAUAAGAGUGAGAGUGUUGUAAGAAAGGAGUGUGAGAGAGAAAGAUAGAGAGAGUAGAAGAAAAAAAAUGUAAAAGAAUAGAGUGUGUAAUAGAAAAAAAGACUGUGUGUAAAGAAGGAGUAUGGGAGAAAAAAAGAGGUUAUAUAAAAAAAGAGUGAGAAAAAAAAGUGUAUGCAAGAGAGGAAUGUGAGAAUAAAAGAAAGAGAGCAUAAGAAAGGAAGAAAGAGAGUAUAAAAAAAAAGAAAGAGAGUGUGUAAGAGAGGAGUAUGAGAGAAAAAGAGUGAAUGUGUAUGCACAAAAGAAAGAGAGAUUAUGUAAGAAAGGAAUGUGAGAAAGAGAGAUUAUGCAAGAGAGGAGUGUGAGAGAAAGAAAAAUAAUAUCCAAGAAUAGAGUGUAUGAGAGAAAAGAAAAGAAAAUAUGUAAGAAUAGAAUAUAUGAAAAAA
Molecule: long non-coding RNA, 710 nt
Filed under: Physcomitrium patens
Lineage: Eukaryota; Viridiplantae; Streptophyta; Bryopsida; Funariales; Funariaceae
Description: long non-coding RNA (PPAT_LNC013042)
Source: RNAcentral